Molecule: ribosomal RNA, 342 nt
Filed under: uncultured bacterium
Lineage: Bacteria
Description: bacterial SSU rRNA
Rfam family: Bacterial small subunit ribosomal RNA
Source: RNAcentral
CCUGGCUCAGGACGAACGCUGGCGGCGUGCAGAAGAAAAGAAAAUCGAACGAACCGCGACUGAGUGCUUGCACUUGGUCAAGGUGAGUGGCGAACGGGUGAGUAACACGUGGGUAACCUACCUCAUAGUGGGGGAUAACAGUCGGAAACGACUGCUAAUACCGCAUAGGACAUAGGAUCACAUGAUCCAGUGAGGAAAGGUGGCGCAAGCUAUCGCUAAGAGAUGGACCCGCGGUGCAUUAGCUAGUUGGUAGGGUAACGGCCUACCAAGGCGAUGAUGCAUAGCCGACCUGAGAGGGUGAUCGGCCACAUUGGGACUGAGACACGGCCCAAACUCCUACGG